UCUACACUCGAUCAAAAAAGGACAUGCUAAUAUUUAGCAAAAGAUGGCUCCACACGAUUGUUAAAUAGACUCCUGCCUGGCAAGUCUAAAUAAUUAUUCACUUCGAAACUAACGGCAUCUUCUGUUCGUUAAUAUAAUUACCAGAUAUGCUCUUCGAUUUCCAAGUCAGAAAUUAUGAAUCACUAAAGUAAGCUACUGUUUGAUACUGUAGUUAAAGAGCCGCCCUCCUUCUGUGGCUUGUAACUAGCUAGUAACAACAACAACAAACCACACCACUACGGGAGGCGCGAGUUUUGACUUCCGGUGUUCCGACGAAUUCAGUUUCCCUGCCCUGUUCCCCCUUCCCUACGCGUACGCGAAAUCAUGACGUUUAAACUGAAAUAAAGAAAAAAAAAUCUCUCUGGCUCUUUCUUGGACCAUCGACGGAGGUUAUACCAAAAGAAAGGUCUGCUACAAGGUACCAGGGGUGCCUAAUAGAAAACUAAAAGGGCAAGUAGACUAGUUAGGCACGUCACUUAUAGAAAAGUAGAACAUGUCUUGAAAUCGAUGACGAUCGAUUACAUUCAUUCUAGGUAUUGCAAUACAUGUACAUCAUGUAAAACACAACAUAACAUAACACAACAACACCAGAGCAACGAUUUUUCAAUGGCUCUGAACACCACUAUUUGAUCAGACAUGUCAAAUGUUAACUACUGGCUUUUAGGGCACCAAAUUCGUUACUAUGACGGUCGCUAAGGUAACCAAAACAAAGAUCAAGUCUGUCUAGUGUAACUUCUUUCCUAGGUUCUCAUAUCCCAGUGUAACAUCUAGCAAGGGGAACUGCAUCAACCGGAGAGAUGUCAGCCUCCGAUGGACAACAGCAACAGCAACCAAACCUGGCACCCGCAAAUCCAGGAAACCCCGUCUUCUCGUGUAUGAUGACCCCAGGGAAAACUGAAACGCCUAGCGUGCCAUGGGCAAAACCUCAAAGCCCCCUUUACAAGACCACUUCGAAUGAUUAUGGUGUAAUUCCUCCGACGUUUGAAACAUCACCCUGCACCUACCAUCCUAUGUCUCAGAGAUUCUCAAGGGAACUUGGUAAAUGUGGCACCUACCGGGACAACUCCUUCAAUACAAGUUUGGACAGAAGCCGAGUGUGACUGCCUUCAUUUGCAGAACACUAUCUGAUAUGUUACUGUUGUAGUGAUGUUAUUAAGACGUGUGACUUUUCACCCAUGAAUAAUACUUGGUGGCAUAGUAUUAAAAAGUAAAAGCAGACCA
Molecule: long non-coding RNA, 1260 nt
Organism: Osmerus eperlanus (European smelt)
Lineage: Eukaryota; Metazoa; Chordata; Actinopteri; Osmeriformes; Osmeridae
Exons: 2
Source: RefSeq, a predicted model, not a curated record